Acinonyx jubatus (cheetah) is the source of this 7925-nucleotide long non-coding RNA. RefSeq lists it as uncharacterized. NCBI's taxonomy places the organism in Eukaryota, Metazoa, Chordata, Mammalia, Carnivora, Felidae. The record is from RefSeq and is a predicted model, not a curated record. The transcript has 10 exons.
GUGCGCUGGGGGCGCGCCGAGCUCGCACAUGCGCGCUGCGUGCUCUAGUUCCUGUCGCGAGCUGAGCUGGAGUUCCGCAGCUGGUAAUUAGGCGCUCUCGGGUCCUCUCCCGCCAUACAGCUAUCGAGCUUUUCUAGAGGAAGAGCUGAUGAAAAGAGUCACAGCUGAAUAGUGGAGAGAAAAAGCCCGGUAUUUAUUGCUUUUGUUUGGCUUUUGGCUACAGAGACAGGAACCUUCUAAUGGGGUCAAACAGCAUCUUUCCAGCUCCACUGCUGAUGCCACUCUGGCCACCUGAGAUCACCGCAAGUUCUCCUAGUCUUCCAGAACUCCAGCCACACCACCCGGUCCUAUGCCGCACGCAGACCUGAAGAGCGUGUGGUCUACUCUUCCUACAGGGACUAAUAUGUCUGAAGAAAUGCUGUUUGGAUAAUCAUUGUUCCUGUUCAUCACAUGCAUUGAGAACCAUGCUGAGAAUACCACGGAAUACAGCCUGCGUUACAACAGCGUGAGUCUACUGCUCACAGAGCUGUCUCUGACCGUCGCCCCUUUGUCAGACGUGAGUGACUGCACCUAAAUGGACCGGCUGAAAAACAGGAGGGGCCCCACUGUCAGCACUGAUAGGGGCUGCAAAGCCUCACAGCCGCCGCUCCUGAGGUCCCUUCCUGCUCUGAAAUCUGCAGCAGUUCCAUCUGGCAGAGUUUUCAAAGUUCUUCCCUGUUUCUUCAUCUUCCGGGGUCACUCGGAAGGGGGAUCAUAGCCUUUGCUGUGUUGGAAAGUGCUAUGAUCUGAAUGUUUGUGUCUCCCCCAAGUUCACAUGUUGGACUCCUAAUGCCCAAUGUGAUGGUGUUAGGAGGUGGGCCGUUUUGGGGGUGAUUAGGUUGUGGAGGGCCCUCCUGAAGAGGAUAAGUGACCUUAUAAAAGAGACGCCCUCACAGGGCUUUCUAGCCCCUUCUGUCAGAUGAGGACACAGCAAAAAGUGUGCAACUCAGAAGAAAGCUCUCACUCGACGAUACUGACACUUUGACUUUGGACCUCCAGCCUCCAGAACUGUAAGAAGUAAAUUUUUGUUGUUUCUAAGCGACCCAACCUGCGGUAUUUUGUUAUACCAAUCCAAUGGACUAAGACAGAAGGAAUUGAUGGGUUGGCAGAAUUUUCAUAAUUUUGCUGUGUAAUCUUUCUGUUAUUCACAAACACAAUAUAGGAAUUAAAAGGGCUGGAAGAGUGCCAGAAACCACUGAAGACGUUGAAGGUGGUGAGGAGGAAGCCUUACUAUUGCAGCAGCAAUGAAGGCCAGCCUGUCCGCGGGGAGUCUGCAAGCGUGAGCAAAAGCGGAGGUUCUCUUGGUGAUGGAAGAACUUGGGUUUCUGAAUGCUUAUGGUAGACGGAUUUAAGGCAGAUUAACUAACUGGGGGGUUCACUGGUUCCCUUGCCCCUUAUAUUGUCAGAAACUUUCUAAAUUUAUAAUUUCUGUGAUUACGAAUUCAGUUCUAACUUAAGGCCCAGAUGUAGGACUGUGUAGAAUAUAUUCACCAAGAAAGUCCACUUGCAAUAUUGAGACUAAAUGAUAUUUAUGAUAUUUCUUUAAUUUAUCUGGAAAAACUACAUGCUACCUCUUAAAUAUAAAUGCUCUGUUAAUCUGAGAAGUAGAAUGUUUUGAAAAUUUGCAAAAAAUAUUUUGUGUGAGGUUGUAAGUAAUAGUUAUGUAACACUGAGGUAUUUUCAUAAACUGGUCCCUUCAUAACCAAAGACUGAGUGUGCUGCCUGAUAUAUGUGGAGAUGAUACUGUUGGGUUAAAGAUAAUCUAGAGUUUAGGCUUUCAGGUAAUGGAUUUAUCCUGAUCUACUUAUGUUCUCUUAUUUGGGAGAGUGUAUUUAUACCCAAAAAACCUAAUGCAUGGGAAUGAAAUUUAAAAGUAUAUAGGGUCUUUUGCACUUAAAAUUCUAUUAGAAGACUUUUGAUUUACAUCUCAUUUAUGAGGAUCCCUGGGUUUAUCACCUGAUUGGGCACAUUAAAAAAAAGUAUACACACACACACACACACACACACACACACACACACACAUACACACCACAUUUACAAAUCUAUAAAUGUCAUAUAUUUUGGUAACAGCAGGUGGUCUGAUGUAUGGCACAGUAGCAAAUGUUGAAAAGGCCAUGCCAUGCUUUUGUGUGUGAUGGCCCAGAGCAAGAUGACCCAGUUUUGAUUUUCACCACGGUUGUCAAAACUGUGUGAUGAGUGAAUUUGUACUGAGCUUUUUCCAUCUUUCUUUUCUGAAUCCCUUCCCUUCAUCAGCUGAAACUUGUGGUCCUCAGUGCUUAGUAUUCUCAAGCUGUUUAUUGGUUGCUUAGAAUCUUCUACUGUGGCAUUACCACUUGGCCUGUCUUUCUUCCCUGAACCCUGUGUGCCACUCUUUACCUUUGACCCAUCCCAAUGCAUCUUCCCUAUGUGUUUCAUUUUCAGUAUUGUUGGGGAGAAUGAUUUCGGUAUUGAUGGGGAGAAUGAAUGUGAUUCAAAAAAAAAUGUGAGCCAUCAAAUUCUUUACUUACAGUGAUUACUAUUAUAGGAGUUUACAUUAUCUUGCAGGAUUGGAGGGGGAGAUAUUUGGGGACUAGAGAGUGAUUUGGAUUUGUGUAUGUCAUGCCUGUAAAUCCAAAUACUUCCUUAAUCUGGCUAACUCAGAAGAAUGGCUAGGAGUAAAGCAGGAAGGACAGUAGAUUUCCUGGAGCUCAUGAUGCUCCCUCCUCAAAUGGUGCUUUUCAAAAACAUUUUAAAUGCAGUAUCACUGACAUGGUGAUUUUUAACAGUGUAGUUAAAAGACUUUAGAGAAAGCAAAGUAAUAAAGAAGGAAGUAACCAGGCUUCAGAGGGUCAAUGUUCUUGCUUUGUGAGUUUCACCCCACCUGGCCUCACCUUGAUGCUGGCUCCACCUGGCGUUAGGACCUGAGAUUGACUCCGGACUGUGUCCAUCCAACUGAUUAUGAGUUUGAGUCUGAGUUGUUUGGGGGAAGCCUCUUGUAGUUUCUAGAACAUUCACUUCUGGCAUUUGUCAGCUCUAGGGGAAAAUUUAUUGCCUAGGAAAAGCUAACUUUUAAUACACAUGUAUUGGCCGAAUUUGAUCUCUAUUGACAGAAGAGAGACAUUUUUAGGCAUCAUGUUGCUGAGGAAUUAUUUAUUUUGAAAGGAAGUCAGGGUCUUUGGAUAAUUCUGGAUCUGGAGACUUAUUUAACACAUUUUUAAAAAAAUUAAUGUUUAUUUUUAAGAGAUGGAGAGACAGAGUGUGAGUGGGAAAGGGGCAGAGAGAGAGAGAGAGAGAUACAGAAUCUGAAGUAGGCUCCAGGCUCUGAGCUGUCAGCACAGAGCCCAAUGCGGGGCUCGAAUCCACCAGCCGUGAGAUCAUGACCUGAGCCAAAGUCAGACGCUUAACCAACUGAGCCACCCAAGCACCCCUAUUUAACACAUUUUAAUUGAGGACCUGUUUAGUUAAUGUCCUAAAGAUAGAGCUGAGCCAAAGACACAUGGACAUUUAAGGAGCUCACACACUAGUGUCACAAAAGCCUUUUGUAGAAUUUAAAUCACUAUACAAAUUAGUUAUUGGUUGUAAUUUACUAUAAAUACUUAUUCAAUAAAUAUUGAGCAAGUAUCUGCUAUAUUCUAAGCCCCGUGCUUGGUGCUGGGAAUACUGGAGAAUAUAAGGUGCAUAAAAUAUAGUCUUUAUCCUUGAGGAAUUUAUAGCUUGAGAUAGAGUUACUGAAACAAAUAGCCAAAAUGUCAGGAAUUACAUAAUGUCAAGAAUGAAACUCCAUAAGAGAGGCAGGUACAAAGCACUUCAGGUCCAUAAGAAUGGUUCUUAGUGCUAACUACCUGUGAAGGUCUCAGCAGGCCUCUCCUGAGAAGAUGGUAUUUGAUUUGGAUUUGAAGGAUGAGAGGAAAUCUGUAAAAUGGAAGACAAUGUGGAUAGACCGUACUUGUAGAAAAUUUAGAGUGAAGAAAUCCAAGGUAGAGGGUAAUAGGUUCUUGUUACUAAUUCUGAUGAGUAUGUGUGUGCUUGUGUGUGGGUGGUGAUGGGAGGUUUCCCCACACCAAUAAGCAGUUCUUGGACACCAGCUAGGUAUCCUACAAUUCAACUCACUCCUAACCCUACCUAUCUAGAGACAACAUCAGAUCCCACAGGUGAAGAGUUCAGUCCUACAGGACUGCCCCCUCCUCCCCACCACCACUUCAGAUGCAGGUAUCAAAUUCAGGUUGUCACUUGUGCUUUUGAUCUACCAACCAGCUACAGAUUGGAGGUUCCCACAACCCCCUCCUGGGCUAUGAUACAUUUGCUACAGUGGUUCACAGAACUCAGGAAGCCCAUUUACUCACCAGAUUCCUGGUUUAUUAUGAAACCAUAAUUUCUGUUAUGGUUUCCAUAACAGAAGGAAGGAAGGAAGGAAGGAAGGAAGGAAGGAAGGAAGGAAUGCAGGGGCAAGGUGUGGGGAAAGAACGUGGAGCUUCCAAGCCCUCUUCCAUUUCACAACUCUCCCAGCACCUGCAUUGGCCAUUGGUGAUCGAUCUCAAUCUCUAGUCCCUUUCUCCUCCCCGGGGGCCAGGGGAGGGCGAUGGAAAGCUCCAACCCUCUUAUCAAAUGCUUGGUUCUUUUGGCAACCCCCAGUUUUAGGUGAGGUCCAAAAGUUACAUCUUUAACAUAACAAAGGACACUUUUGUUGUUUUCUUCACUUGGAAAUUCUGGGUGUUAGGAGCUCUGUGCCAGAAAGGGCAACGAAGACCAAAUAUAUAUUUCUUACUAUAAAUUCCAAUAUCAAGGGGGAAAUUUCCAAGGUCUGAAAUGUUGUGAAUUUGUUCAUGUACAAGGGCAUAUGAGAUUAACUUUGCACAUGAGACACAGCUAGCUAACUACAUGACUUUUCUCUAGUUAACACAAUGGGUUCAUUCUCUUCCUUCAUAUUUGGGCUAAUUCUGGUCAUAACACCUUGGCCUUCAUGGGUAGAUUGUUUAUUCUGUUUAUUGGAAUUUCAACAAUAUCUUUGCAUUUGCAUAAAAUGUCUCUUUUAAAAUGUAUUAACAGAUCAAAUGUAGUAUGGCAAUAAUGUGUAUUAAAUAAUGUAUAGUAAAAUGAACAAAAUAGAAAAUAUUUAUGUUAAUAUAAUCUGAAAUUAUCUCUGUAGAAGAUAGAUACUAUCACUUAGUCAAGUUUUCAAAAUGCCCAAGAUGUAUGAAUACUCAUAUGCCCUUCAGUAUUGUCGUUUUAUCUCUGUAUUAUCUUUUUAAAAACCAGUUUCUGAAACCCUCAGCUAAAUUCUUUUUCUAUGCUGUUGUUCCUUGGAGGUCUGGAUAUAGAAGUCCAAGGGCACAUUUGGCUCAGAGAAUUGGACAGAAAUCCCAUGCACUGGCACGUUGACGCACCACCCCGUUGAAAGGGCCGAACUGCCGUUGGGUCUGACGCCUCUCCCAGCCUCCACCUGUUCUCGCCUCACUUUACCUCACAGAUGUGUCCCCUGAUGAACUUCCCUGACGCCUGCUUCUCGGAGGACCUGUAUCGACACGUUGUCUAAUUCAGUCUCCCCAAACUUAGGAGCUAUUGAUGACUAUAAGAAAUUGAGCCUCGGGGAUUUUGAAGUAUGCAUUCAGGUCACCCUGCCAGUGAGUGGCAGUCUUCCAACCCAUCUCCGUCUCUUGACUCGUCUCAUUGUGCCACACUGUCUAGGACAGCUUACUGUACAUAAAAAGUGUGCCGAUCCCUGACAUGGCAAUGCAAAGUUCUUCCAGAAACCAUCAAGGCAAACUCUCCAACAGCAAGUCCUUACCAAAAGCCUGAUUGCAAGAAUAUUUUUCUCUCAGAUCUUAGUAUCAAGAAAGUUGGGCUUGCUCUUGAGCCACUGCAGUGUGCAGUAGUCCUCGACGUUCCCACUCGAUCAGAUUGUGAAAUAAGACUCAGACACCACUCGUUGCUUGGAGGGAAUGUACGGGGCUCUGACCACUGAGGCCUGCAGGAGUCUGGCAGGAAACUACAUACACUACCUGCAGGGUUAUUUUGUCCUUAAAGAUUUGGGUAAAAUACUAGCAUAUUUUGGCAUAUAGCGGCAGCACCGAACAAAGGACUGGAUUUGGAAAUGGAAGUCACAGAUUCUACUCUCAGCUCUGCAUGUAAAUAACCAUGUGAUUUUAGGCAAAUCACUCCUUGUAUGAUGAUUAGAGGUUAUAAACCUAAACUACCAAGAGUGAGAAUAUUUGUGGGAGUUCUUUGUUUCUAGAUAAAAGUACAGUAUUAUCACUAGAGUUAUUUAUAUAUGUGAUGAUAGUGACAUAGAGCACACAUGAAAUCAUAGACACUUCUCUACUAGGGAAUUAAAUAGUGUUAGUAGCUUCAAUAACAGAAAGAGGCACUUUCAAUUGUAUUCCUUUUGAUUUGGGCCUCAUAGAAAUAGAUAAGUUGAGGUGUUUAAUGUCUUUUUUCUUUAUUUGUUUUUUGUUCUACCCUGAGAAGCAAUUUUGCUCACAGCAAAGAGAAUAAAAAUGAAGGACUUGAGGAGAGAACAAGAAGUUUGGAAUAAGUAAUAUAAGGAAUGUACAGUGGAGAUGCUUGGUGUACAUGUGUGAAAUGUUAAGUAGACUGAAAACCCCAGUUGUGUGUAAUGUACACGGAUUAAUUAGCAUAUUUCAUUUUUUUCAUUAUUAUUACUAUUUUUUUGACAGUAUCCAGUACUCUGGACACAGGAGCAGAGACAUAAGCAAUAUGUAUUCAUACAAGACUCAUUAUUAUCCAGAGGAAUUCAGGAAAAGAAAAACAAGGUAAAUAUAUCAAGGGUUUUGGAGAUAGAAUUAUUUGCUUGAUAAACAAGGUGUUUCAGGAAUAAUGGAAAAGGAAAUGGGGAAUGAAGGUCCAAAGGAGACUGAUUUUCAUAGAAAAUGUCUAUAUACUUUAAUAGUUAUCUUUUGUGAGAAUCUGUGAGUGUUAACCUCUUUUAGUCUCUGAUGUCUGAAGAGGUCUGGUUAUGACAGUUUAUGUGGGUAUAAAACUGCAGGCUUACUGAUUUCCUCCUUAAAAUUUAAGAAAACCAUUGAAUUCUGGCAUAUGUUUUUGCUGAGGGGGAAAUACAUUGUGUAAUUGUUGUUCUUUGGUUGGUAGGUUGGUGUUUUCCUCUGGUAACUUUUACGAUUUUAUCCUUAUCCUUGAUAUUCUUCAGCUUUCUCUCAUGUGAUGAGGCAUGGAGUUAUUUUAUUUAUGUUGGGACCCAGGUAUCCCUUCAAUUUUGGAAAAUUCUUUACCGUAUCCCUUUAAGUAUUGUGUUUCUAACAUAUUUUUCUAAAGUUAGAUAUAUGUUUAAGACUCUCAUUCUAUCCUCUAUGACUUUUUGAAGGUUUUUGUUUCUUUUUUCUUUUAAAAUUUUUUUUAACAUUUAUUUAUUAUUGAAAGACAGAGAGAGACGGAGCAUGAGCGUGGGAGGGGCAGAGAGAGGGGGAGACUCAGAAUCCGAAGCAGGCACCAGGUUCUGAGCUGUCAGCACAGAGCCCAAUGCAGGGCUUGAACUCACAAACUGCAAGAUCAUGACCUGAGCUGAGGUCGGAUGCUUAACCGACUGAACCACCCAGGCACCCCUGAAGGUUUUUGUUUCUGUUUCUUGUCCAUGAUGUAUUAAAAGUAAUUUCCACAAUACCAUCUUUCAAUGAAUUGUGACUUGUCUAGAUAUUAUUUUGGUGUAUGAAAAUUCUUAUUGCUCCAUAUACUUGCUAACACUUGGUAUUAGUUGUUUUUAGCUUUAAGCAUUUUGAUAACUGUACCAAAGUGGUACCUCAUUGUGAGGUUGGCACCUUUAUAUAAAUCUAUUGAUUCUUUGGAUAUUCUUUUUUAAGAAUACCUGUUCAAAUGUCCUACGUCUUUUUCAUUGGAUUGUUUGUAUGUUUCCCUAAUUGAUUUUUAUGAGUUUA